UUGAUUCUCCUUUUAUUUUGGCUAUUUUGCCCUUUGCCUCGUGGUUUUGCAUUGAUUUCCUGUGUAGUAGUUGGGUCGAAUUCUGUUCAUUGUUGGUUCCGUUUGUUAGUGGUUUUCUUCAUGGUGCUUGCUUUUGAUGUUCGUGUUCCAAGGAUUGGUGCUAUUGGUUCCCCUUUGUAGUUUGGUUUGGUUCCUCCCCUCUCUGUGUUCAAGGGCACCUUUUUUUCAUAUCUUUAGUUGGGUCUCAAAUUGUCGAGUUCUAAUGUUUGGUUAUGCGCCUCCUUUUGCUAUUCUAACUUUUCGGUUCGGUGUUUGUUUCUUCUGCCUUUUUCACGGUGCUUACGAGUUUCACUGUUGGUUCUAUGGGAUUGUGGCAAUAUGCUUUGCUUUGGCAAGGCAUUGUAAACCAAUGAUUUAGCCUAUAAUUAUGCAAUCUUAGCCUAUAAUUAUGGUGCAAGUCAAAACAUAUAUUCUGCCUAUAAUCAUGAUCCUUAAUUUAUGUAAAUUUCCUAGAUUAGUUCCUUUGUAUAGGAUUUUCUUAUUUUAG
This 547-nucleotide unclassified non-coding RNA is filed under the name Hevea brasiliensis (rubber tree). Lineage: Eukaryota; Viridiplantae; Streptophyta; Magnoliopsida; Malpighiales; Euphorbiaceae. The record is from RNAcentral.